This 1272-nucleotide long non-coding RNA is filed under the name Bemisia tabaci. RNAcentral describes it as "lncRNA ENSSSA1UGG008413". Lineage: Eukaryota; Metazoa; Arthropoda; Insecta; Hemiptera; Aleyrodidae. The record is from RNAcentral.
UUUUUUUUUUUCAGUGAAAAGAAUCUGACUAGAACUGUACCAGUCAAAGAAGAAUCUGAAUGGGGAGACUUGAAUGGUGGUCAAAAUCUAAGUGGACUUAAACAGAGCCCAAAUACCAACCAGAUUCACCACAAGAAACGAGACGAAGCUUUCAGCUGCUACUACAGUGCAUCUCACUAUUCUACCGACGACCAAGAUAGCUCUAGCCAAUUUGCACUUGAAAGUGACAGUGGAGCAGACAUAUCCGUAACAAGCCGAGAUCUUGAGUGGGAACGCUAUUGGGCACAAAAUGGUGACCGCAUUGUUUGGGAAAGUUGGAUAACCAAGUACAAUGAUUACAUCGAUCCAACUUACCUAAAUAAUCACGGGAAUCAGCAUCAGGCUCUUGACAAGGAUGCUGUGAAAAACGAAGAAAGUGAUAAUUUUGAUUCUGUGUCCUCUGACAGUGAUGAAGUAGAAGCUGACAAUAUAUCACCAGUUGAAUCCACUGAUGUGAAUAAGUUAGAAUUGAAUCAUCCAAAGAAAGACGUAUCAACUGAAGAAGAGAAGAGACCUAAAGAAUUGACUUUUGCAGAACCUCCCAUUCUAUCAGUUGGAGACUUUGAUGGACAAAUUUCGUCAGAACCUUUAGAUCAUUCAAAAGAACAGGACGACUUCUUUGAUGAGCAAUUUAGACUAAGAACUGGAAGCCGCAGUUCUGGGAAUAGCGGUCGACUAACUGCAACCACUGAUUCAAUGACCAAUGUUACCAGAAUUACAUUGUCGACUUCAAAUUCCAGUUCUGAAGACCUAUCAAGAAUCGAUUCGUCUCUCUCACCCUCUUCGUCUGUGACUUCCUACACUGAGCAGUGGCAGCACUUGUGGAAUGAACACUUCAAUGACCUGUACAACUCUCAUUAUAAUGCAUUUAUCUCGCAGUACAAAGAAAGUGACCCAUUGCCUUCGUGGGAACCAGUCGCUGAUAUCAUUAAUGAUGUUUUAGGAGAUCCCGACUUUGAAAGUAGCGUCGAAAGGGUAAACACCUCUGUUCCUAAGCAACCUGACGAAGAUUUCCUCUCUGCAAAAAUUAAUCAGGUAGAAAUUUCCAAAAAGGAGAAACCAUCCUCUGACUUUCUGGUCAAAAGUAAACUUGCAAACGGCUGUAUUGAAGAGGAAAGACUCAAUUGCAUGGUAGAUGUGAAUGAGGAUUCCCAAGAAUCAAGCUCAUCCAAAAAGAAUAGCAAAGGGAAGAGAAAAGGGACCAAGAAUAGCAGGCAAUUUGAGUAUGUGUAA